Molecule: ribosomal RNA, 119 nt
Filed under: uncultured bacterium
Lineage: Bacteria
Description: partial 16S ribosomal RNA
Rfam family: Bacterial small subunit ribosomal RNA
Source: RNAcentral
UGUGUUCCUGAGCCUUGUACACACCGCCCGUCAAGCCACGAAAGAUCGGAGCGCCCGAAGUCGCCUCACGGUGCCGAAGGCGAAACGGUCGAUUGGGACUAAGUCGUAAACAAGGUACC